AGAGUUUGAUCAUGGCUCAGGACGAACGCUGGCGGCGUGCUUAACACAUGCAAGUCGAACGGUGAACCUGCUUCGGUGGGGGAUCAGUGGCGAACGGGUGAGUAACACGUGGGCAACCUGCCCCCGGCUCUGGGAUAACUCCAAGAAAUUGGGGCUAAUACCGGAUAUGACCGCUGGCCGCAUGGUCUGGUGGUGGAAAGAUUUAUCGGCUGGGGAUGGGCCCGCGGCCUAUCAGCUUGUUGGUGGGGUAGUGGCCUACCAAGGCGACGACGGGUAGCCGGCCUGAGAGGGUGACCGGCCACACUGGGACUGAGACACGGCCCAGACUCCUACGGGAGGCAGCAGUGGGGAAUAUUGCGCAAUGGGCGGAAGCCUGACGCAGCGACGCCGCGUGGGGGAUGACGGCCUUCGGGUUGUAAACCUCUUUCAGCAGGGACGAAGCGCAAGUGACGGUACCUGCAGAAGAAGCGCCGGCCAACUACGUGCCAGCAGCCGCGGUAAGACGUAGGGCGCGAGCGUUGUCCGGAUUUAUUGGGCGUAAAGAGCUCGUAGGCGGCUUGUCGCGUCGACCGUGAAAACUUGGGGCUCAACCCCAAGCCUGCGGUCGAUACGGGCAGGCUAGAGUUCGGUAGGGGAGACUGGAAUUCCUGGUGUAGCGGUGAAAUGCGCAGAUAUCAGGAGGAACACCGGUGGCGAAGGCGGGUCUCUGGGCCGAUACUGACGCUGAGGAGCGAAAGCGUGGGGAGCGAACAGGAUUAGAUACCCUAGUAGUCC
Molecule: ribosomal RNA, 774 nt
Filed under: uncultured bacterium
Lineage: Bacteria
Description: bacterial SSU rRNA
Rfam family: Bacterial small subunit ribosomal RNA
Source: RNAcentral